This 67-nucleotide transfer RNA is filed under the name Bavayia jourdani. Its description in RNAcentral is "tRNA-Cys". Lineage: Eukaryota; Metazoa; Chordata; Lepidosauria; Squamata; Diplodactylidae. The record is from RNAcentral.
AUCCUCGUAAUGAGUGACACGUCAAAUUGCAAAUUUGAAAGCGUUCCUAUUUUUGGUUCCGGGGCUU